Molecule: ribosomal RNA, 252 nt
Filed under: uncultured bacterium
Lineage: Bacteria
Description: partial 16S ribosomal RNA
Rfam family: Bacterial small subunit ribosomal RNA
Source: RNAcentral
CUUGGGUGGCGACCGGCGCACGGGUGAGUAACGCGUAUGCAACUUACCUAUCAGAGGGGGAUAGCCCGGCGAAAGUCGGAUUAAUACCCCAUGAAACAGGGGUCCCGCAUGGGAAUAUUUGUUAAAGAUUCAUCGCUGAUAGGUAGGCAUGCGUUCCAUUAGGCAGUUGGCGGGGUAACGGCCCACCAAACCGACGAUGGAUAGGGGUUCUGAGAGGAAGGUCCCCCACAUUGGUACUGAGACACGGACCAA